CACGUAGGCGGAUGGGUAAGUCAGAUGUGAAAUCCCGGGGCUCAACUUCGGAACUGCAUUUGAUACUGCCCGUCUUGAGUGUGGUAGAGGGGGAUGGAAUUCCCGGUGUAGAGGUGAAAUUCGUAGAUAUCGGGAGGAACACCAGAGGCGAAGGCGAUCCCCUGGGCCAUUACUGACGCUGAGGUGCGAAAGCGUGGGUAGCAAACA
RNAcentral lists this ribosomal RNA (207 nucleotides) under uncultured bacterium. RNAcentral describes it as "partial 16S ribosomal RNA". It matches the Rfam family "Bacterial small subunit ribosomal RNA", at positions 568 to 774 of the family's 1533-position model. The record is from RNAcentral.